RNAcentral lists this long non-coding RNA (6350 nucleotides) under Sus scrofa (pig). RNAcentral's name for it is "lncRNA (ENSSSCG00035035258.1)". The record is from RNAcentral. Lineage: Eukaryota; Metazoa; Chordata; Mammalia; Artiodactyla; Suidae.
CUUUUUUUAAAAGUUCAAAUAUUGGAGUUCCUGUUGUGGCGCAGCAGAAAUGAAUCUGACUAGGAACCAUGAGGUUGUGGGUUUGAUCCCUGGCCUUGCUCAGAGGGUUAAGGAUCUGGAAUUGCUAUGAGCUGUAGUAUAGGUCACAGAGGCGGCUCAGAUCUGGCGUUGCUGUGCCUCUGGUGCAGGCCAGCAGUGGCAGCUCCAAUUGGACCCCUAGCCUGGAAACCUACAUAUGCCGUGGGUGUGGCCCUGAAAAGACAAAAGACAAGAAAAAAAAAACAGAAUUUUAUUUCCAUAUUGAAUCAAUGUAAUAUCUUCACUGAGGCAAUUAAUGUGGAUAAAUGGAACUAUAUAGAAGUUUGCUAAAACAUAACUUUGCUAAACCAUACACAAGUUUAAUUCUAUUUGAUUUUCUUAAAAUGAACAGUACCAAAACAAGGGGAGGAAAUGGGAUUGACUGUCCACAUUCUGAAGUAAAAUGAACAUAUUUUGUCAUUUACAUAUAUUUCUCCAGCUUUUCACAUCUGCAGCAUUGUUUGUAGUAAUAAAAAGCAGUCACCAAUACUACCGCAAUAUUUUCUAACCCAAAGUGCGUUUAAGUGGUCAUCUAAAAUUGUUUCACAUAAAAUGUUAAAUCCCAAUGCUACAGAGACAAGUCUUAGAGCCACUAAAAGUACUGGCACUUAGUAAACAAAGAGUUAUUGAUGCAGAAUGGACUCUAUAUGAUGUCGCCAGAAAAUAAAGAACAAUAAAGGUGGUGCCAUCACACUGUGGAGACUCAGGAUUAUGGUCAUCCCAUGUUAGUCAGAACUGACACAACUUUCUGCUUCCCAACCUUUCUUCCCAUUACUCAGCUUUCAUGCCUCUGCUUUCCUAUUCGUUCUCUCCUUUUCCCAUUCACUCACUCAUAACACUUAGCCACCAUUCCUGUGGCUUACAUGCUCUUGUCUUUCUUUAAUAUGUAUUGAUAUUUUGUAGAAUUUCAAACAAGCAUAUGAAGACAUUCUAACCUUCUUUCUUUAGGACUCUCAUGGCUUUUCAUCACAUAUUUGUCUUCUCCUUUCUCCAUCCUUAGAGCUCUAGUUCCUUUUCUUUUUUGUCAUCCCCAAGUUGUUCUUCCAAGUUAGCUUCCAACAAAACACAAAAGAUAAAAAUAACAAGUAUUACAUAUAAAUGCAGGGGAAAAAUGCAGAAGAAAGAAAAGGUAGUGCCAUAAAAUGGAACAAGCAAAGAAUGUAUGCCCUGGACCACCAGGUAGACAGUGUUCACUGCAGACCUGCCUUCAGCUUUCCAGUAGACAAGAUAGAAGUGUUCUAGGCACUAUCCUCAGUAUCCAGAGCAUGCAUUUCUCAAAAUAACAACAAAUGUCUGUGGUACUAACAGAAAGAUUUCUCUUGGUGGUACAAACAGAAGGAUCAGUGCAGAAGGUGGCUUGGAAUUCACUGGGAACUUUUAAGAACCACCAGUUAAAGCCCCACCCCCAGAUCAGUUAAAUCAGAAUUUUUGUAGGUAAAACCCCCAAAUUAUUGUUAAAAAGCAUUAGAAAUAAUUAUAAGGUGCCUCAGCAUUGAGAAGACCUCAUCUAGAUUAGAGAAGACUGGAUCCUACACUUGAAACAGCUAAAUACCCUAUGUAUGUGCUUGCCAGUGUGAUUCCAUUAGGUGUUCUGAUAUCUAAAUCAAAGAAUUUGACUUAGCUACUUUAAAGAAUCUAUCAUUUUGCAGUAUUUUUCUCCUAUUCUUCUACCAGUGGAUUUUUACCUCUAAUAGCUCUCAUGCUGCACAUUUUCCAUAAUAUGCUAAGAUAUACAUGAAUUGUCACCUGUGGUCCUCAUAAUUAAUGGUCAGUUCUGGCAAUGUGAGCCAGACACUUUGUAUGACUAAAUUCUGGACCCCAGGAGGUACAUUUAGUCUUUCAGACAAUAAUUGAAUAAAAUUGCUCUUGUCAUAAAUCACUAGCCAUUGACAUUAGAAAGCACAUUCUUUUAUUACUUAACUCUUUCUUAAGCCCCAAGAAUAUGAUUGUUUUAAAAAAUAAGGCUAUGAGGAAAAAAGCAUUUCCAGUAGUAAAAGGGAAAUCAGCUAAUAGAAUUACCUGAUGAAGAUUGUAAUUCAGAUAAAGAAAAAUAUUCAAUGCUGUCACAAAAAAAAAAAAAAAUCCCCAAAUACCAAAAACGACUGCUUGAAAAUAAUUCAGUUGGCUUAAUUAGUAACUGUUUAUUAUCUGUUACCAAAUAUGGGAACUGUUUUAGAGUUAAUGAAAGCCUGAUUACUUAUUUCAAGGAUUCAUAUGCAGAGUCAUACUGGGCAUUGUAGAGCAGAUGUAAUGCUAUGUGCAACCUGAAACUAUCACAGCAAUUGCCUCUUCACUGGAUUGGGUAACCAGAUGCACAAGUCAUACCCUUUAAGAAGCAAAACUGCUGAAUAUUAGGAUCACUUUAAUUUUAAAGUAAUAGUACCAUAUUUGGGAGAUGUUCAAAUCCUUGGUGAUACAGGAUAUUAAUGACCAGUGAAAAUUCAAGAAAUAGCAGCCUACAAAUAAGUUCCUAUAUCGUUUCUUUUUAUUCACAAAGAAUUAGGAGAUAAGGAGAUGAAGUUAGAGAAUUUUAUAUUAUCACUCUGCUAGUUUCAUUGGUAACUUCUGUGCUGGAAUCACAUGGGGAAUUGCUCUGAUUGCAAUUUCCAACUGUGCUGAAUCUCUGAGUGAUUAAGACUUGUUAAUAGUGGUGAAGAGUCAAUAAGACUGCUCACAGAUUUGAAUGGCAACAUUGAACAGUCAGAACAAAACCAAAUUGUUUUAAUGGAGUAAUUUUAAUUCACACAUAGUGUGACAGCUGAUGUCAGAAGAAAGUCUUCUGUUUAUGUUUCAGAUGGUUAUGAUGGUUAUAUUAUUACUUGGGUGAUUUGAUAGAAUCCACAUGGCUUAUGCAAAAUAAGACAUGGCAGAUGCACAGGCAGAAGAAAAUGCACUUGUGAUAGUGCUGACUAAAGUUUUGCCCUUGAAAACUGAUGGGAGUGGCAUUUCCUUCCUGAUACAGAUAUCAUCAUAAUGCUUUGGAUUCUUAGUAUCCUCAAGCAAUACUGUUAAUAUUGUUUUGUAUUAUUUUACUUUAAACUACAACUGUUCCAUGUCGAUUCCUUGAAUAAUUUCCUGUGUUCCAAUCGAAGUAUUUAGUUCCUCUGACUUGUACCAACUAUUUUCAAUGAUACAUUCACAGAUUACCAGUAAAUUCAGUACUUUAGGUCAACAGGAGGCACCGACUGUAAAUAAAGCAUGAAUACAUGAAAACUAUCCUAACCAUAUUUUAAACAUUUUGUGCAAUUUACAUAACGUGCUUGAAUAAUGGACACCAUGUAAUGAGGCUCAUUAUGUGCCUGAAAUGUGCUAAAUGGUCUACCAGGUCAUUUGGUCCUCACAACAACUCAAUGAAAAUAGCAUGGGUUAUUUUUGCCAUUUUAUGGAGGAGAAUAUUAAGGCUCAAGGAGACAAGAGUACUUUGCUUAAACUCUCACAAACAAUAAUGGUAGGCUUCAAGGUUACUUCAUAUAAUAAAGAAGUUCAUGCAUUUUCCACGGAGCUAAAAUGGACUUCUUCCUAAUCUUUCUCUUUUUCUCAGAAAAAAUUUUCUUUACUACACAAUCUAUGCAUAACCCCUGAAAACAAGACUGGAAUUAGAUUGUUUAUGAGGAUUCCUUUCACCUCCAAAAAUUUUUAGAAAUUUUUGACAUGGAAUUGAUGAGAUUUUCUCCUUUUAAGUCAUUUUUUUAAACUGUGCUUUUUAGUAAAAGCCAAGUAAUCGAUUAUGGACAAAGAAAAUCAAAUAAUCCUUGUGGUUGAUGACAUUUUUAGGCCAUGCAGACUUCAAGUAGCUGGAAGAGACCACCAGAGAAGAAAGAAUUCCCUUUUAUUCCUGUAUAUUAAUAGCACAUAACUAGCUUUAGCAAAAUCCGUAACAAUAGCACUACCUCUCACUAUUUCAGACAGAGCUGAAAAAAAAUGUGGAUAGGUUAAAUGUUCUAAAAUGUAUUAUAAAAUUACAUGUCACAGCAGCUGAAAGCCAAUUUCCAUUACAACAUAGCUCACUGUGUAAGAGUUGAAUCAUCUCUAUUUUGGUAACUGUUCUUUAUCACUAAAGAUAAUUCAUGCUAUAUUUUCAUCCUUAUGAUGGAGGCAAGAGGAUCACCCCAAAGUUUUGACCUACAAAAUUACAAUUGAUAAAGCAGAUUGAAGAAAUAGUGAUAGAUAUUCCGGUUCUUUCAUUGAGUUUAUGGCUGGGGCUUUUGACAGAAAAGAUUUAAUUUAAAUAGAUUACCAACCAGUCGUCUUCCUGACAUUACUACCUGAAUAUUAUUUGGUUUACAUGUAUCAGUCUCUGACUCUUCAUAGGCAAUGAUAAAAUAUUUACUGAGUAAAAUGAGUGAAUGAGAAGUCUUUGCUUUUUACAUUGCUACAUGAUAAGAUCAGAGGGUAUAUAGAUAUGAAUAAUUGCAAUCAGUCAUUGUAUGGCACUUUCUAUUCAUACACACAUGGUAUAAAAUUGGGGGAAGAAAAAAGGAGCCACAGGUAUUUUACUGUUUUUUUCUAUUAUUAUUAUCAUCACCUCAUUUGUAAAACAUCAAAUGAAGGUCCAAGUGACUGAUUCAGAUUGCAACUUUAGUCUCCAUGUCAAGAGAUUAGAGUGCUAUCCAUCUGAAACUACUGCAUUUAUGUAGAUAAUUGAGUUAACCCUUCACUUCUAGCAGGUGCUAUUAAAUAGAACAGAUUGAAUUCUCAAAGAAAGUACUCAAUCCCUCCUCCCAACCUUCCUUCCUUUGGUAUUAGAUUAUGCAGCAAACUCAAAGGACCUACCACAAGUCUAGAUUGUGAUGCCAUCUAGAACCCAGGUACUCUUAAAGAGGAACAGGUACUGCCCCCAAAGAAAGGACUCAUUCUCUACCUUAGCACUUAUGCUUAGAGUUUAAGAAUAUUCAGCUUGAAUGGUGAGAAGGUAAUAGCAGUUGAGGAAGCAUGAUUAUAGACAUGUUGAAGAAGCCCUAACUUGCUUCCUAGGAUCAGGAAACACUAUUGUAAAUGAGGAUAGCUUAGCUUCACUGCAAUCAACAUGACCAGAUCUCCAGUUCUCCACUGUCCAAGACAGUAUUAUAUGAGAGGAAUAUAUGAUGGGAAAAGAUGUCAACACUUUAUCCCAAUGUCAAAAUGUACUGUGAUUUCUCCAGUUGUGCUUUUCUACAAGUGUUGUUAUUGUUGUUUUAACUUGACCCCUGACAACUUUACUGCAUACAUUUUCAAAUUCCCUUUGUUCUUGUUUUGCGUCCUCUCCUCAAAACACUGCUAUUUAUAAACUACUAAAUGUUCCUCUCUCCUAAAUACUGCCCACCAGAGUUCUUCUUGUGAAAUGACCUUGGUUUUUUAAAAAACUGGCAUUUGGUUAGAGGUUGCACCUAAUAAUUUUAGAAAACCUUAAGUUUUAUGUGAAUCAAAGUGAAAUUGAAGAAAAAAGACAGGAAAUACCCCUAAUAAAUUGAAAUCUGUAGAAAAAACAUGGCGGAAGAUGUAGAAAAUAUAAAUUGGAUAUACACAAGCUGUUAUCUGAAGCCAGAUUUCCAGUUGCUCUAUGAUACCCCCAAGCACUUCUAUCCUCCCCUAAGUUAUAGCCUCAUGAAACACCAAACAAAAUACAAACCAGAAAACGUUACUACUACAUUUUAAUAAUUCACAACUAUUUUGAUAUUUCUGAAACUGUGCUGCCUAUUGCAAUCAAUGGCAUCUUAAAACUAAUUGAUAACGUCUUUAAUGGUACAUGAGAUUAUGAUACAUUGUACAAUUGAUGGCAUUUUAGAACCAAUUAUUAUUGACAAUCAUAGUUAUUAUUAACAAUCAUAGUUAAUAGUAAUCUUCCCUAGCCAGGAAUGAUUUUCAUAAACCAAUCCAUAUUAUUCAGGAUACUAGAAAUUUCUCAUUCCUCACAUGUCAUUGCUACCUCAUAACUAUAGUUUUUUUUCCAGUUUCUAUGGCAGAAAAAUCAACCAACACAACAUGAUUUCUCUUUGUCUUUAAAUAAUCAGUUGUUUGAAAGAGUCUUAAGCAUCAAUUUGGGUGAGGACUCAAAGGUUUUAAAUUGCCAUCUUAUCCAUGCCAGAUGCCACUUCUGCAUUGUUUUAGAAGCUCCUGGAGUAUAUUUAUAGAUGCCUUGUUUGCUCUUAAGCAUGUUGCUAAGUUUCUAUAUGCUGCUAGUUAGGAGUAUUUUCAGAUAUGCUAUAGCAGCAAGCUGCCCUGCAAUUCAGCCUUACAUUCCUUAAGAAUGUGAUUUUUGAAUUAAAACAAAACAAAACAAACAAAAAAAAAAA